AUGGCCAGCUUCAGAUUCUGACCUGUCCCCAAAUGGUCAUUGACCCCAAAGCCUUCAUCACAAGAAGGCUGGUUCAUCGGGUCUUUGGAAUUUCAGAAUAAUUGAAGGUGAGAUAAAAUGGCUCUCCUGGCCUGAAUCUAGGUCCUGUUUGACAAACUCUGUGCUUUAUCUGCUGAGGGGAAUGGAAGCUAUCAGAGUGACUUCUAGCAUGUCGGUUUGGCACCUCACUAAAGUGCUAUUCGAAGCUCAGACUCAGCCUAGGAGGAAAAUGAAAUCAGCUAGCGGCUGCCAGAGGAAAAAAGCUGUCAUCUGCCAAGACUGCCGAAGUUAGGGGGGUCGCCUCACAAGUCACCUCCCCAUCCAUGCUGGUUAGUUGGCUUGACCUUGUGUAAGUCUUCACAGGUAACCACAGCUGCUGUGAGUUCCUGAGUGCAGCAGCCACGUGACGUCCACAGGAUGGCAUUGCACCGAGCUCCUCCACACCCUCCAGCUCUGCUGCCUUCCCCGCCUCCUCUCUGUGCUGUUCCCUGAGCCUUGGCACGGGUGGGAGGAUUGAUGAAAUGUUCCGUGUAGGCCUAAGCGCUCACAAGCGUUUAUUCUCAAGCACUUUGACCAAAACCUACCGAAUGCGAUGCCUGUAUGAAAUUCAAUAUUUUAUCCUUAGCUUAUUACUCUUUUUAGCUUUAUUUGAUAAUGUAUGUACAUACAUAGGGUCAUUAUGAGUAAUUCUGGGUUAGGAAGUCAUAAAUGUUAAAUCAAUCACAGAAAUAAUUAUAAGAUGCAAUGUAUUAAAUAGGUAUCAAUGUAUAAAUUACAGAUGUAUCAGAUACAUGUAAAGAAAUUCUCUUCUUAUUAAAUGACAAAGGGAAAAUUUG
Mus caroli (Ryukyu mouse) is the source of this 875-nucleotide long non-coding RNA. RefSeq lists it as uncharacterized. The record is from RefSeq and is a predicted model, not a curated record. NCBI's taxonomy places the organism in Eukaryota, Metazoa, Chordata, Mammalia, Rodentia, Muridae.